Long non-coding RNA from Zingiber officinale, 511 nucleotides. RefSeq lists it as uncharacterized. The transcript is spliced from 2 exons. The record is from RefSeq and is a predicted model, not a curated record. NCBI's taxonomy places the organism in Eukaryota, Viridiplantae, Streptophyta, Magnoliopsida, Zingiberales, Zingiberaceae.
AUAAGGAGCGAAAUAUUCUUAAGCCAUAACAGAAUACCCUCGGUUAUAAAAAGGGAUAAGUUAAGAGAGAAAGGGAUUGGCUCACGAAACCCUUUCUCCCUCUUGUGCGCGCGACGGCUCUCGGGCGAAGAAGGCGGCGGAGCUAGGGUUCUCUCCCUCCGGCGGCCGGCGAAGGCUUUUUCCGGCCGGUCUUCACCGUACGUGACCACCUCGAUGAGGAGAGCUCAGAAACACAAAGAAGCCGCCGAAACUCAAGCUUCUCCGCGAACCCUAGAGCCUCCCUCUUUUCGGUUGUGAGUUCAAGGAGCAAGAUCAAAGAAAGGAAAAGCUAUAGGAAAGGAAGGCGACAAGGAGAUGCAAGAGAAGUGUGUGAUGUCUGGACUAUGGAGAGAUCUGGGAAUUGCUAAGAAUUUAUUAAGAUUGCUUCCGCUAAAUUGUUAAGAGAACUUAGAACUUGUACUUGUAAAUCUUUGGUUCGUUUUAUCGUGCAUUGCUAGAGUUGCUUCUUUUA